CUCUUUCAUUUCCUUUUGGCAAGUCUCGGAGCGUGGUUGUAAUGGCGGUAGUUUGGUGCUGCUAGAUUGAACUUUAUCUGAUUUCAACAGCAACAUCUUUGGGCGGUGCUGUAAUACAGCCUGAGCAGCUGGCUCCACAGGUGGAGGGAAUAUGGUGAAUCUGUCAUGCUACAGGCUGGUCAGCUUGAUGUUCCGUGUGUGAAGGAUAAUGCAUUGAUGGGUGACAGGCAACGUGGAUUUAGGAAGGGAUGCUCAUGUGGGCUUCAGAUGGCUGAAAUAGGUGACUAGAAAGCGAUGGCUUCGGUUAAACAGGUGCAAUAUUUGUAAUUUCCUAUGAGGCUUUUGGCAAGACUGGAGAAGGUUUGGUGGUUAAUUAGUCAAUCCCGGGGGGGGGGGAGAACUGGUUUGUUGACUUCCUUAGGAAACUACCAAGUUGGUUAGAAGGGACAGGAGGCAGAGAAAAGUACCUGGAGGUGACCUGGGAUAGAGGUGGGUUGCAGAGUAUCAAUCUGCUACUUUGUUACUGAUACACUGCACACCUGUAUCAAGUAGUGCAAACGAGUACACUAUUCACGUAGUUCAGUAUCAGUUUAGAAUUUGCCUAGAACACCACAGCCAAUGUGCGCAGAAGACUCACUUGGGCGGAGCUUGUGAACGGGGAGGGAGUGCACGACGAAUAAGGGUUGAAGGAAAAGAAUUUAGGGAAGGAAGCGCAGGGGAAGGCGUUGAAGGAAAGGUGCAGAGCGAAAUUAAGUCAUUUUGUUUAUUGUCCCAUGUCAAAGUACGCUCAGUGCACACUGCGUGCUUCUUGCGAAGACUGAAGACUAGCUAGUACGUUAAUAGCAAUACAAGACCAAGGACAUUGGUUGUAGAUCCAUCAUCCUUAGGUGAUAGGUAUGUGGAUCUACUAUCGAAGGGGCAAAGCUAAAACACUGUCUCGUUCAAUAAUAAAACUAAUGAAAUUUUAAUAUUAAAAGGUAUAUUAAUAAAAUAUAUAAUAUUUAUAUUUGUGCACCUAACUGCUAUGAAUAUGCAAAUAAAUUCUCAAUUGACCCUAGUAAACAGAUGUAAUCAACAUAUGGACUUUAUUAUUUCAAACAAAUUAGUAAUUAGUGUUUUCAUACAUUAAAAGAUUAUGGUUUUAACAAAAAAUAAAAAUUAAAAAACAUAGGUACAUUAGUGAGCAUACUGACUAUCAAUAGAAAUUUGAGUUACAUCAGGCGGGUAGCAGUGCCAAUGUCGAUAAAAAAACACACUUUGCAAGUUCAGUAACUAUUUAACAAAUAAGUAUUGCAUUAUUUUCUUAACUUACAUGUUUGAUGUUAGGGAACAUCGGUCAGACACAAUAAGUCAAGUUCAGUCACUAUUUACAAUAUUUCUUAUUGGCAUUUAGAAAAACAAGUUUCUUGAUUUUCUCGCUUACUGUUCGGGAACGUCGAUCAGACACAAUAAUUCCAGUUUUUGAGAACAAUCGUUCACAAGGAACAGAGGUAGCAACUGUAGCAAACUUCUCUAGGACUACUCUCUUGAAAUGUGGGUAGUUGUAAGAGUGUCGAUCAUCACUCCUACUUCUGGACAGUGAUAGUGAUGUUAAAACUAUCUUGAUUCUGAUCAGGUAACUGUACAGUUGGAUGUUUACGUUUCAAAUGUUUCUUCAGAUUAGUCGAUGAUUUAUAACUCAGUUUUUGUUUACACAGAUUACACUUAGCAAACUCAUUAUUUUCCGUGAAAAAAUUCCACACAAAUUAAGUCUUUUUCCUGCACUUAUCCAUGCCUAAAGAUACUAACUACAAAGCAUGACAGCCCGCAACAAUGAACGUGGUAGGUAAUACACGGCCAGGACGAACUGCAGUGAAUGUUGUACUGAUUGAUACUGGCUGUAUUAGGCGGGCAUACGAGUUGGAACAGAUACCAAAAAUUGCUGCAACAACCCACCUCUAACCUGGGAUGUGGGAAACAGGUCCAGAGUGUGGUAUAAAGGGGAGGACAAUAGGGUUGCUUUGGGGGAGGUUCUAAGGGAGUGGGAAGAAGGGUGAAGGCAAAGGUGUACUCCGCGUGUUUCUAGAGGGGAAAUGGGGUUAAGGACAUUUGGGUGGUAGGUUAUACAGGCUGAGUGGAGGUGAACAUAGAGGGAAGCACUCAUACCUGGUAAGGACAGGUUAGUGGUGGAAUGGGCCUGAGGGGGAAAGUGUUGAGUUAUUUGCCUAGGACUUGUAGGAAACUCCCUGGAGGGGGCAGUAAUUAUUACCAUUGGACGAAAGCUGGAUUGCAGAUGUACGGUUGAAUUCAAAAGUGAAGAUAAUUUUUCAUGGACUGAACAACUGACUCAAAACCACGUGGGCCCAUGGUGGUGAGGGUAUGCAUCAGGUCGUAGAUCGCUUCAGGGCUCAACUAGGUGAUGAGGGUAUGGGUCGGGUCAUCAGUUGAUUCUGGACUGGACCAGCUAGCUGUCCAGGUUGAGAUGACACUCCUGACAAUCAUCUGUUCAAGACUAGAUAGUGUUGCUGGUCGUCUUUAGAAAAAAAUUUGUAUGUUUUUUACUUUCAAAUAUAUGUUUACUGAAAA
Bacillus rossius redtenbacheri is the source of this 2565-nucleotide long non-coding RNA. RefSeq lists it as uncharacterized. The record is from RefSeq and is a predicted model, not a curated record. The transcript is spliced from 6 exons. NCBI's taxonomy places the organism in Eukaryota, Metazoa, Arthropoda, Insecta, Phasmatodea, Bacillidae.